CGUACUGCCCUCCAAAAAUCGCCUGCGGUGGCGGGCCACCUCCAAACCACCCCAAACCGUACAAUCCCCAGCCCCUCCUCGGUCCAAAUCCACGACCAGUUUCCCUCAAAUCCGUCUCAAACAAUUCGUUUAGUAGAUCUAAGAAAUCACAUACCUAAAUUCAUCCCUUUUUUCAAUUUUUCCUCAAAUCUCGGACUGUUUGGGGUUAAUACCAACAUCAAUAGACUACUCUCAAUGAGAGUUGUCGAUUGAUGGUAAGUUUAUCUUGUUUCAUGACCAUCGGAAUCUAGUCAAACUCCGGUUGACCGUCCAGUUCCCACCCAUAUCACCAUGGUGUCAUUUUCUCCGGCUUAGCAAGGGAUAUUGUUGCAUGCAACACUGGCCGGUGUGAAGCAACUCUGGUUAGUGCUUGUGUAACGAUUCCUCCAACUUGCUAGAAUUCUUUAUCGAUUCAUUUUGAGUUCCAGCAUGUAUAUUUUGUUCCUUACUUCUUCUAUGUUUUUUCCUCAUUCCCUUUCUUUUUUCUACUUGUUUGUCUCCAGUCAUCGCUACUUAAUUUAGCAGGAGCAAAUAAUUGAUUAUUUGAUUCAUAUCUGUUUGAGUGUGAUAAACUGUUAGCUAUUGAAUUUUUUAUUAUUGUUUGAGCAGUCACAUGAUUAGGUAUCACUGAAACAAUAUUUAAUUUCUUUAAUUCCCUGUUAAAUCGACAGUUUCUUUUGUUUUAGUGUUUGUAUAAUAAUUUCGUACCCAUAUUAUUCUUGAGGAUCAAUUAGUGAGUCACAGGCUUUCUAGGAUUUGAUUACCCUACUUUGGACUUAGGAGUGUAGUUUGUUUUAAGAAUGAAGCCAGGUUCAGGCUCACAUGAUUUCUAUAGAGUUGAAAGGUAAAAAGAUAAGUAAAAGAAGGUCUGUAGUUCUGAGAGUAGAAAGUAACGGAGGUAAAAAAGGUAUUAAGGGGAUUAGACUUAGAGAAUCUUUAUAACUAACCCCUAGGAAGCUUCUAGGAAAGAAAAACCAGCAGGGGUCUGCCGGGGAGGGACUUGAAGAGUAAAAAUAGAAAAGAAAAAAGGAUUAAGAAGAAAAAGAAAAAUCUGAAGAGCAGCUUGGAAAAUCAGUUUAAAUAAAUGACCAUCCUCACACUAUAGGCAUUCAUACUCAUUCACAAUCUGGAGAUUCACUCACACACAUUCACCUAGCUGAAACAACUUUCAAAAGUUCAAAAAUAUUUCAAAAACCAGAUAUGAAAAGCCAAAAAAUGGCUCAAAAAACAGAAGAAAAUUAGCUUUCAAAAGAGAUUUUUGAAGUUGUUUCCACUAUUGUUGUUUGUUCUAUACUUUCUGAUUUUAGAAAAUAAUUCAGACUCAAAUCACUGUCCAAUUCUGCUGUUUAUUGCUGGAUCUGUGUUGCAGAGCUUCAACUACCUGAU
RNAcentral lists this long non-coding RNA (1425 nucleotides) under Nicotiana tabacum (common tobacco). RNAcentral's name for it is "long non-coding RNA (NTAB_LNC003079)". Lineage: Eukaryota; Viridiplantae; Streptophyta; Magnoliopsida; Solanales; Solanaceae. The record is from RNAcentral.